UACGGAGGGUGCAAGCGUUAUCCGGAUUCACUGGGUUUAAAGGGUGCGUAGGAGGGUAGGUAAGUCAGUGGUGAAAUCCCCGAGCUUAACUUGGGAACUGCCGUUGAUACUAUCUAUCUUGAAUAUCGUGGAGGUGAGCGGAAUAUGUCAUGUAGCGGUGAAAUGCUUAGAUAUGACAUAGAACACCAAUUGCGAAGGCAGCUUACUAAGCUGUAACUGACGCUGAGGCACGAAAGCGUGGGGAUCGAACAGG
RNAcentral lists this ribosomal RNA (253 nucleotides) under uncultured bacterium. Its description in RNAcentral is "partial 16S ribosomal RNA". It matches the Rfam family "Bacterial small subunit ribosomal RNA", at positions 524 to 776 of the family's 1533-position model. The record is from RNAcentral.